GUUGGUCCUGUGGGCCCCUGGAAGGGUCUGGCAGCUCCCACGAUGGGCCCAGGAGCUCUGAGGAGUCUCUGGGCUGAUCUGGAGAUGUCCCAGUAGAGUCUGCGAGGGUCCAGGGAGCCCUCGUGUGGGUCUGAGUGGUCAUCCAGAAGGGUCUGGGGAUGGCCCAGAGAGGACUUGGAGGGUCUGGGGGGUCCUUUGGUGGGUUCUGCUGUCUUCUGGAAGGGUCUGAAGAUGUCCCAGGAGUGUCUUGGGGUGUCCAGGGGGUGCUCGUGUGGGUCUGGGGGGUCCUGGAGCCAUCCAGAAGGGUCUGGGGAUGGCCCAGAGAGGACUUGGAGGGUCUGGGGGGUCCUUUGGUGGGUUCAGAGGGUCCUGUUGUCUUCUGGAAGGGUCUGAAGAUGUCCCAGAAGUGUCUUGGGGUGUCCAGGGGGUGCUGCCACUGAGCCUCCCACUGUCCUAUGAGGGGACAAAAGGACCCCCCUGGGGGCAUUGCGUCAAAGUUGGGGACACUGUGAGCAGCUUGAGGACUUCCCAGGGGAAGUGGGGACACCGCGUCACUGUGUCACACCUCAAAGUUGGGGACACCCCCACCGUGUCACACCUCAAAGUUGGGGCAUCUCUGUGUCCCCCCGAUGGUGUCAGACCCCAAAGUUGGGGACACACCACAGUG
RNAcentral lists this long non-coding RNA (667 nucleotides) under Gallus gallus (chicken). Its description in RNAcentral is "lncRNA (ENSGALG00010000776.1)". The record is from RNAcentral. Lineage: Eukaryota; Metazoa; Chordata; Aves; Galliformes; Phasianidae.